This is a non-coding RNA of Rattus norvegicus (Norway rat), 14311 nucleotides long. NCBI's taxonomy places the organism in Eukaryota, Metazoa, Chordata, Mammalia, Rodentia, Muridae. The record is from RefSeq and is a predicted model, not a curated record.
AGAGAGAGAGAGAGAGAGAGAGAGAAUCUGUGUUUGUACCCACUUUUCUAUUAAAACAUCAGUAGUAUAAGAUUAACACUGGACCGCAUUUGAGAGAUAAGUCAAACCACUGAGCUGUUGAUCGGAAUCCAUCCCAUUGAUCCUUUGGGCUGCAUUGAUAUCGCUUGUGAACUCCCAUCAGGAAGAACACAUCCUGUCUCACCAGCCAUUUUUAUUAACUCCGCAUUCUCAGAGGAGCCCUUACGAGCUCCCUUGAAUUCCAUGCUUCAUGUAGAAGUGUCUCACUGGGUGUAAUUAUCCAGGAAGCCCUCCAUGGCAAGCAAGAAUAUGUGUGAAUGUUCCACCCCGUCUCUGAUUUAAGUCCUCAGAGAGUAAGGGAAACAUUUUUCUUUAAUCCCGGUGGAAUAAAUUUGGGACCAGCAUGAGUGAGUGGUACCAAGUACUCUUUGUGAGCUGAGAAUUUUUUUUUUCAGAUAGAAAUCUUCAAAGGGAACCAGUUCUCACUAGUUCAUGGGCAGUGCUAACUCCCACUGUGAAGAACAAUCUAAGCCAGGAGCUGUGGGAUUCCUGCGGGAGUGGGAUGGAGUCUCUGACGAAGACCUGGGAUCCAGAGUUUAAGGCACUAUUGUCAGCACUCACUGCCCAUGUGAGUUUAAGUAGAACGACUCAUGUUAUUGAAAAAUUUCUAGCACACACAUUUUUAAAAAAGGCUAGUGAGGGCGGCACACCUCUAUGAUUCGAGAUGACAUCCAAGAAUUAUGAGUUCAAGGCAGCUUAUGAUACAAAGUGAGAUCUUGUCUCAAAAAAAAAUUAAAAAGGAAAAGCAGCAGGUGAAAUAAAAGCUAAUUUCACCAAAUAACUAUACAAAAUUAUUAAUCAGAUGUUUCCUUUUCCUAAUCCCAGGACUUCACAGUUAAAUGUGUGUUCAGCAUAUCCCAAGUGUUUCCCCCGCCGCCUGUAGCUAACUCAUGGGAAGACAUAGGAAGGGGGGUUUCACGGGGAUCCAAGACAUCACUUCUUCCAGAAUAUCAGGGAGGACAUUUUGAAAGUACAAGAGAAGGUUUGCAAGAUGGCUCAGCCUAUAAAAGUGCUCACCUCAAAGCCUCAGGACCUGAAUCCAAUCUCUGGGUCCCACAUGGGGAAAGGAGAGAUCUGGUUCCCAAAAGUUGUCCUUUAACCUCACGUGAGCCCCUAUACUUACUUGCACGUACACAAAUUAAUAAAUGUCAUUAAAAAGACUAAAGGAGGGAUUGGGGAUUUAGUUCAGUGGUAGAACGCUAAGGCCCUGGGUUCAGUCCCCAGCUCCAAAAAAAAAAAAAAAAAAAAAAAAAUAAAGACUAAAGGAAAUGAUACUUUGAGGUGAUUUCCAAGGGAUAAACCAGAUAAAAAUGGCGCCCAUGGGGUUGGGGAUUUGGCUCAGUGGUAGAGCGCUUGCCUAACAAGCACAAGGCCCUGGGCUCAGUCUCCAGCUCCGAAAAAAAGAAAAAAGAAAAAAAAAAUGGUGCCCAUGCACAGAGCAGAAUUUACUGAGGACGACUCAGGUUUUACUGAGGACGACUCAGGUAGACAGACAUAAGCUAGUCAAGACCAAUGUGGAAUUAACUAAAAGAACAGUCUUGGUUUUCUCAAGUAAGAAAAACAGCUCCAACUUGGAUCAGCCUAGGAAUAGAGGCGAAAGUCAAAGGUCACUCUAACCCCAUGAAUGUGUGACCCUAAAGGGAAAGGCAGAUUCUGAAGUCAAUAUGCAGUGACUUCCUGGGUUUAUGCUACCUCCCAGCCACUGCUCUGCAAACCAAGGGCUUUGUGUAUAUAAAGUGCUUUGUUAGCUGUCAGGCUCAUAAACAUUCACGGGUUAUGGGUUAAAGAAAGUCUGUGAAGAUGAGCAAGAGGAGGAAACCCCUCUUCUUGGAGCAUCAUUAAUGUUGAAACCUUGACCCCUCAGAGAGUGAAGGGGACACAGUAGACACCAGGGAAGUCUAUCUUCCUGUUGGGAGGCAAUCAGAUUCUUUUAUUAAAAUAUUUAUUGCCCACUCUUAAAGCCGUCUCAUUUGUUAUAUACUUAGCAUGAGCACAUGUUACAUUCCAUAAAUAGUUUUUUGUUGUUGUUCCCCCCCCCCCCCCCCCCCGGAGCUGAGGACUGAACCCAGGGCCUUGCGCUUGCUAGGCAAGCACUCUACCACUGAGCUAAAUCCCCAACCCAGUUUUUAUUUUUAUUUUACCAGGAGUAUGGGCUUCCAGUGGCUUCCUAGAUGUGAAAAUGGCUCUUCCUGGGCAUACAAUCCAGACACUGGCAGACAAUUUAAAAUUAAGUUUCCCCAGUAGUGCCAUCGCCACCAGGGAGAUUGGACACUGACUGUCCCAUAUUCUGUCCCAUAAAACAUGUUAAUUUCAGGCCAGUUUUUUAUGUCCCCACCUCCUACUGCUCCCAGUGGCUUUUCUAUUCUUCGUGUGUGUUUGUGUGCAUGUGCGUAUGUGUGUGUUUGUGUCCACUAUUGCUUCAUUUUCCAACACCUUCAUGGAUGCCCCUCAGAGCAGCUCUUUUCAGCAGCUCUAGGUUGUUCUAUGACUGUUGUCUAUGUGGGAAAAUUAUUUCCUGGGAACAGUAUAGGAAGACACAAAAGCAUUUUUUACACAAAAUUAAAAAGUUAUUUGAUGAUGCAGCCUAUAAAUCAGUGUGCUCAAACCUUUCAUGGAUACCAGACUCCUCCGUAUUCCAUGCAAACAGAAGACUUUAUUAAGGAAGCUUUCCCAUGUUAACGGUUCUCCAUCAACUCCAUGGUGACCUUCCCAGGCCAUCGAAAAGGUCAUAUUCUUCUAAUACAAAAACCAAAGCCAGAACACUUGAGUAACCUGAGCAAGGCCACACAGCUGAUACCUAACAUGACCACACCCUAGUGUUCACGCGUCUGUGACAUCUUCAUAAUUGGAAGCAAUACCUUUAAGUAAAUCUUCUCUUUAUGGCUGUGCUCCCACUUCUAAAAACAGCAACUCCUAGGAUUUCCGACCAAAGUACAUCUCAAGGUCUUUAUGUCCUAGGAACCUUGGGAGGGGAAGGGCAUGGGGACCUUGGAUUUGUUGGGCACAUGGUAGCAGGCACUGGUGUUUCUUUCUGUCCUGUUUUAAUGGACCAGGUGGGACUCUAUAGUCUUAUCACCGUUCCCCAUCACGAUGCACAAAAAAGCUUCAAACACACUGAGGCAGACUGAGUGUUACACACACCCCUCUGUCUAAUCCAGCUCCAGGCUGUUCCAGCGUGUAUCUCAGAAUCUACCCACAAAGCUCCAGGAAGGGAAAGUGCCCUCUGCUCUGCCCCGCACCCAGCACCCAGCUUCUUUGUUCCGUGUGCUACUGAGCAGUGCCUUCAUGAAAGUCCUCAGGAAAUUGCUCCUGUCUCAUUGCUUUCUCUUCUGGCCUCCUCUUUCAGUCAUCAAGCCAGAAAACCCAGGUCCUCCCAAGGACCCAGAGUUCAAACACAGGCGACCAUCUUUACAAUGAGUUCUUUUUCUGAGUAUCUUUAACCAUGUCCAGCCACAGUCUACCUUGCCUAUCCGUCCACAGCUAGACACAUCCACAGUUUAGAGUUUUAGACAAGCCAAGAAUUCCAAAGUUGCCACCCACCCAUUUGUUUCUCAGUUACCUUUUGUGAACAUCUAUUGAGUCAGAACCAGAUUGUUCUGUCUGAAUAUCAAAGUUCUUUCCUAACAGUUGACUCAACCUUUCCUCUCAUGCUUCCCACUUCGGACACCAGAGGAAGCUGGGUGCUAUGGGCUAAUUAGCAGGACAAACUCAAGUUUCUGUGGAAGAAAGGGGAAACAGUAAAUGACCAGGAGCAGUUUUCAGAGAAGUAAAAGAACAACCCUCAUGCCUAGUCCCCAUCCACCCAUCAGAUAAGCUGUAAACAGACAACUUUUUGUGAAGAUUAAGUAUUAAAAAUUUGUAAAUAUUAAAUAUUUUAGACUGUUCUUUGCUCCCAUUCUUAGUUUCACAUUGGUUGCAUGAAAAGCAACUAAAUAUUACUGAUCGAUCGAUUGAUUGAUUGAUUGAUUGAUUGAUUGAUUGAUGGGUCAAGAGGCUUCUUUGUGCACUGCAGGCUAUGGUUUUGACACGAGCAUCAUUCUCUGAGCUAGCCACACAACCACAACUGUAAAUGCAAGUAUAGAUUAAGUAACCCGAUCCAGAAGUUGAAAAUCCAAAAUGCUCUGAAGUCUAAAACUUCCCGAGUAUCAAUUGUGAUGCCAUAAGUUAAAAACCCCAUACCAGCAUACUCAUGUGAUAAGUCACACUUAAAACACACAAAAUACAAAUCUUAAGUAAUCUUUGUAUUAAGUAAAAUGACCCUCGAAUCACGUAACAAAUUAAUCUUCUGUUUAGAUUUGGACGCUAUCCUAGGAAAUCUUAUGCGCAGACCUAAAUACUUUUAAAACUGAACACCCAAGACACGUCAUGUUGCAGGCAUUCUAGAUAAGGAAUAAUUCCCAUUGGUUUCUCUGUGGCCCUCUCUGGGUUACCUGAACAUUUUCUAGGGGAACACACAACAGUGAGCUUGCAACACAUGUGUACCUCCUCCGGAUUAAGGAUGAAAAGCAACCACAUAGAUGGAGAGUGUUCUGAAGAGAUGCAAAAUCAAAGGCUGUAAAAAACCCAUUCUGUCUGUUUUUCAAAUACUGUAUGGUUUUGUCUAAGAGUUAACAUCAUUCAUGUUAAAAAGUGAGCAUUCUACAUUUACAUUUACAACAGCCAUGGCUUGCCAAGCCCCAAGCAAUUGUGUUAGCCUUGGCAUCUCACUUUAAAACGCUCUCAGACUUUCCAUUUCAUAAAGAACGAGAACCAGAAUGAUGGUUAGAACGAUGUGGGAUGAUGUCACAGGUGAGGCAGGUACAAGAUAGAAGGAGGCUUGUCAUUGGACGAGAAGGAAGGAUGGGUGGGAGAAAAGUUUGAGGGAAGGGGAGAGGACUGGAACGGAAAAGAGACAAGAGGGACAGAGAGAAGCCGUGGCGGACAGAACAUGGAGGCUGACGUUAAGAUUCCACUCUGUGUAUUUACAGGUUUUUAUGAAUGUUCUUGAGGGAUGGAUGGUAUUGGGCUUUGUAUGUUUAGGUGGGCAAUUAUAUCUUAUCAAUUGGAUCAGAGGUUAUUGUGUUGUGUGUUCUUUCAUGUGGAGAAUCGAAUUUGGGGGAGUGUGUGGGAUGCCACGGAGUUUGAAUGUGUGUUUCUGGCAUGGAAACCUGCCUUGGGAACUAGAUAGGUAGAGAGAUUGCUGACGGCUCAGAGAGAGGCCUUCGGCAGUGUGAUAUGGGAUGGAGCAAAGUGGGUGAGAGGCUUUGCUGACUGAGACUAAGAUAUCUAGCAGAUAUCUUGGGGGCACUGUGGUGACGGACCUAGAGUGGGUAAAAAGACUUUUAUUUUUUAUAUUUUUACAACAACAGAAUGAUGGUUAGAAUGAAGUUUAGAAUGGUGGUUAGAAUAGUGGCUAGAAUCUUCUCUCAGACCCCUCACAUUCUCUAGUGAUGCUGGUCCUGGAAUCGAGCAGUACAGAAGGCUAGAGUCUUUUUUUCUUCACAAUACAUAGCAAACCUUUAUUCCCUUCACUGCUAAGCAUAUAAACAAAUGUUAAGAGUCACCACAGAGGCAAACACUCUCUUGAUUGUGCCUAAAGAAAUAUAAGCACCCACAAUAGAUUUACUUAGAAGCAAGAAUACACUUCCGUUGACCAUCUCUAAAAUAUCCUGUUUUGGUGUCAUUAAGAGAAAUAAUUUCAAAUGCACAUAGCAAAAUGCUAUGAGAUAGACGCCAGGGGCCACAGGGAAGUUCCUUCAUAGGUAACUAUCCAGAACAUGGGAAAUAUCAGCCUUAUUUCCUGUACUCUGCUGGAUUUAUCAUCCUCAUCUUCUUCAAUUUGCUUUGUAACAACACGUAACCAAUCUUCAAAGGUAGUGAUAUAAAUUAGAUGGACUCUUUUGCUCUAAAAAGGUGGCUCCUUGGGGUUUCCAGAGGCCUUGGCUUUGGUCCUUAUUUACACAGAAACCGAGAAUGUAUAGUCACUGUUAUGGCUGUUGCAUGUCUCUAAAACUCAUUUGUUUAAGACACGGCCCUCAAAGUGGUGAGAUGUGGGCCUGUGGGACAGUCAGCUUUAAUACCUUAUGCUUUGCUAUGGGGCAAAGUCUGGUGGUGGACUUAGCACGGAUAGAAAAAUGAGAGAAAGCCAUUCUCUGGCUGCCCUGUGAGACCACGCAAAGAUAAAUAAAUGAACAUAAAUGGAAAGCAGGACCCUCCCCCAUCUCCUAGCACCUUCAUCUUGGACUUGCAACAUCCAGAAACAAGAGAAAUAAAUAUCUGCUGCUUAAACCCUAAUGUAUGGUAGGGUUUGUUGUUGCUCUGUGUGUGUGUGUGUGUGGGCGUAUGUGCGUGUGAGUGUGUGUCUGAGUGUGUGUGUGUGCCCGUGAGUAUGAGAACAUGUGAGUGUGUGUGUACGAGUGUGUGUGUAUGCACAUGUGUGCCCGUGUGUGUGUGUGUGUGUGUGUGUGUGUGUGUGUGUGAGACAGUGUUGGUUGAUUAGUGUUUAUUUAAAAACUUUAAUGUCUGUCAAUAUCAAGUUCCUUAUUGAUGAACAUCUGUUGAUAUCAAGUUCCUUAUUGAUGAACAUCUGUCAAUAUCAAGCUCCUUAUUGAUGUAAUCUGUCAAUAUCAAGUUCCUUAUUGAUGUAAUCUGUUGAUAUCAAGCUUCUUACUGGUGCACAUCUGUCAAUAUCAAGUUCCUUAUUGAUGUAAUCUGUUGAUAUCAAGCUUCUUACUGGUGCACAUCUGUCAAUAUCAAGUUCCUUAUUGAUGUAAUCUGUUGAUAUCAAGUUCAUUAUUGAUGAACAUCUGUUGAUAUCAAGCUCCUUAUUGAUGCACAUCUGUUAAUAUCAAGCUCCUUAUUGAUGUGUAUAGGAAUAGGACUCAUCAUUUCACAACACAGAGCUUUUCAUGUUGACAUUUAUCAAUUCUCAUGGCACCAAACUGACACUAGGACCACAAAACUCAGCACCCAUCACCUACAACAUUCGUCACUUCAGAAUCCCAGGCUUACACACAGACACUGCAGGAUACACGCACCCACUUCACUCUGUCCUCACAGCCUUCAUCCUUUCUGCAGUGCACAGAGCCACAGGACCUGUGAGAGAAGACACGGCAGUAUUUAUGUGUAACAUUAGUGGAUGUUCAAUCUAUGGUUUAAUUAGGUCCAAAUUAAAAAAAAAAAGACUGAUAGUGAUCUAAAACAGAUGGUAGACAAAAUAAAUAGGUCAAUUUGGCAACCAAAUGAGCCAAGAAUCUGUCCAUAUGAUAAAGGAAAAGAUAAACACAUCACCGUGAAGUCAGCUAGAGCUUAGUGAUUGAGCUGUGGUUAGGAACUAAGACUAGUUUUACCACCCAUUGGCUGACUGAUUUUACGAUCUGGGUGGGAGGCCUUUUUUCAUUUUUCUUUUCUUUCUUUUUUUUUUUUUGCUUUGAGAUUUAGUGUCUAUUGGUUCUGAAGUAGAUAACACACUUAAUACAUACGUACAGAAUUUGAACAAUAAAUAAAUGAAUUAAAUAAAACACUGCAGGUGAUCCUCCAUUAAAUACUAAUGCUGUUCCUUUAAUUAAUAUUGAGCUUCAAAGCAAUUGUACCUUUUUCUUAAUUGACUUUAACAAUAUCCCCUUGGUAAAAUGGCAGGUAUCAUGCCUACUUCAUAAAUAAGAAAAGUGAGAAACAAGGAGGUUUAAAAGAUGAUAAAAAGCAACAAACACACUGCCACUGCCAAAGUUAGUCUCAACUUCUCAUGUGGCCUUAAAACGCUAAAAAGGAAAUCCCAACUUGAGCUGGCUCAGCAGAGAACUCUGAUAGGUAUUAACUGGCCAACUUUUCCAUGGUUAAUCCUAGGCUUUGGCUAGUUGGGAUUUCUCCUGUAGUUAUGAAUAUCAAGGUAAACAGGAAAUAAGCCAUGUAAAAAAUAGGAAAAAGAAAAAUCACACCAGAAAGCUGGGAACACUUUCUCUCCUAACUUUAAUUGGAUAUUAACAGGAAUCAACUUCCUAAUUAUUCAUAUACAGAUAAGAAAACUGAGAUUUGACCUAGGGAAGAGAAAAAUUUGUCUCGCAUAGAUAUUGAGUUUGUAAAAAGUUUUAAUGCACUCCAACCUUCCUGUGCAUUCAAACAGCAACAGUGCCUGAUUAUCUGGUCUCCUGGGAAAUGGCCAUAUCAACUCAUUUGAAUUUGCAUUUAACUUUCAACCAAUACCAACUACUACUGCUUAACAAAAUGUCCUUUUUGUGGAAAUUCAAGAUAUUUACUGAAAUUUUUUUAAGCAAAAGAUAUUUAGGGGACAUAAGAAAGAAAGUUCCCCCUCUCUCUACCUCUUGCAUUACUGAUUGACUAAAUUCUUCAUUGACGGUACUAACAUUUUUAGUAAUAUAUUGAUUCACAAGAGAUAAGCUUUCCCCAAUCAGUUGCACCAAAGAAGUGUUAUUCUUUGCACCUACUUUCUAAGUAUCUCAAACUGAUUGUUUCCUCUUUUUUUUUUCUUUAUUAACUUGAGUAUUUCUUAUUUACAUUCGAUUGUUAUUCCCUUUCCCAGUUUCCAGGCCAACAUCCCCUUAGCCCCUCCCCCUCCCCUUCUUUAUGGGUGUUCCCCUCCCCAUCCUCCCCCGAUUACCGCCCUCCCCCCAACAAUCACGUUCACUGGGGGUUCAGUCUUAGCAGGAGAGGGCCUUCCCCUUCCACUGGUGCUCUUACUAGGGUAUUCAUUGCUACCUAUGAGGUCAGAGUCCAGGGUCAGUCCAUGUAUAGUCUUUAGGUAGUGGCUUAGUCCCUGGAGCUCUGGUUGGUUGGCAUUGUUGUACAUAUGGGGUCUCGAGCCCCUUCAAGCUCUUCCAGUCUAUUAAGAGAGACACUGGCCAAGACUGACUACGAGAGCCUCUGUUCUGUUCUCUGAGAAUAGCCUAACAGGCAAGCAUUCAGAUGACUGAUGCCAAUCAGAGAACACUCAGCACAUUUGGUCUUCGCAGGUGGGAAGCAGACCGGGUUUCUUGUUACACCUUAAUGACUGGCAUGUAACGUAAGUGGUGCGUGCAUGACUGUGAAGGACAUGAUGUCAUGAUGUCAGUCCUUCCAGGACAGUGAUUUUUAUGCCAUCUCAGAAUCUGUAAGCUUGGCCAAGGUCUAUUCUUCCCGUUGUAAGGAAUAACCACAAAGGAAGUCUGGUAUGAAAACUGAGCCGAGGCAGAUUUCCCUUACAAGACAUCUGUCUCUUACAGAUCUAUAGCUUAGGUGAGAAAAAUGAUAUUUAUUGGGGUAAUAGCAGAACAUAGUCAAACCAGUGUGUUCGAGGCCAGCAAAUGACCUAACUCAACCUAGGUGGCUAGCACCGAAAGAAUGACAGCUGAAAUCCUCUGGUUUGACAUGCUCAUAUGCGCACACACACACACACACACACACACACACACACACACACACACAUCAAAGAUUUAAUAGAGUAUUUUAUACUGGGUGAAUGGCUCUUGUUUUUUUAUUCGUUCGUUUGUUUGUUUAAAAUCAAGAACAGACAUGUAAAAACUCUGUCAUGAGCAUUGUGAAUGAAGAGCAGAGAGAGCUGCUAACAUGGAGACGUGUGAGUGAGCCGCACUCAGAGCCACACUGCACAUGCCUGUCCAUGCAGGAGACAGAAACAGUCCUGGGAAACAAGUCAUACACGAAACAAUAAUCUAGUAAUAAUAGAAUGUAUUAAAGAAAAGUAAUUAUGUAAUUGGUGGUCUAAUGAGUCAGGGAUACAUUUGUAUACACAUAACUAUACAUUAGCCUUAUGGGUAUUAUAGUUACCACAGUAUUUACAUCUAUGUACUAUUAUAUGCACACGUAUUUAUGUUAUGUGCAUAUACAUAUAAUCUAUGUCUAAAUAAUAACAAAAAUUGCAGUGGCAACAAUGAUAACUAUAUCAUGAAGGACUAAGUUACUAUUAUUGUAAUUUUUAAAAUAUUGUCAAAUACAAGUAUCCUUAUCUGAAAUCAAAAUAUAUUAUAUUUAAUAUGGGAAGAUUAUUUUCCCAAGGUGAAAACCAAUGUAAAAUAUCCAUUAUGAAAGGAAAAUGAGGAAAAAAUAAAACGUUAGAACUAUUCAAAACUUCUUCCUUUCCCUCCUGCCAAAGGUUUCUGUUCUGUUCAGAAGAUGGGAACAUGGAAAUACAAAUGUGUAAAUAUUUCACCCAAGACUAGGAAAGAACGUAAUACACUAGCAGGCAAUAUUCAUAGCCUUAGUCAUUCUGCCCCAGGGAGUGUCUUUGAGGUUUCCUCAUUCAAUAGCACCAUACACAGAGGAUCUCACGUACCAGAUACAUUAUUUCUGUAGGCAGUCUAUUGCCCAAGAGAAGUAGUUCUUCUAAAUAUCCAGAUGUUGGGGUUAUGACAAAGAAUAUACAAUGUAUUUCUAAAUUGGCAUAUGCAAUUACAAGGUCUUUAAAAUGUGGAAGUAAUUAGAUUUCUAUUAUGUUUUUAUCUUUUCGUUACUCUUUGGACAGUUUGUCUAAUCUAUGCAGGGCUGUGCUAAAAAUAUGACAUGGCUUCUCAAGAAAGGGAGGUUCACAGGGAGGCCCCAAAUCACAAGAAGACGGGACAUGAAGAGUCACUCAGUCAUGUCCCAAGAAUCUGUGCUUCAGGGCCUGAUGAUACUCAGUUACACAGCACUGUUGACGCUGGAAGAUCCUGCUGUGGGAACUUGAAGAGUUGUUUGUGGGAACGUCAGCUUCUAUACUUCCCGCUGUGUGUACACGGUUUAGCGAUAUUUAUUGGUGUAGCAAUAUGAAUGGCGACAGCUAGAGAACACGUCAAGGGCUCUCUGUUUGACCACGGUCUUCAGCGGUCAAUUGGUCGCUCUUGUUUUGCUAAGCAUGAUGGGAAGCAUGAACGUCCACCUUCAACCAAGCGGGACUUUUGCUCAGUACCCUCCAUCCAGUUGUGCUGUGAAACAGAGGGGUUGGGGAUUUAGCUCAGUGGUCGAGUGCUUGCCUAGCAAGCGCAAGGCCCUGGAUUUGGUCCCCAGCUCCGGAAAAAAAAGAAAAGAAAAGAAAAACAGUAACAACACAGAAAGCCUUAAAUUCAGAUAUGCCGUGAGUCAGAUUCACACAGUCUGCCCUCCAGCCACUGCUCUACUCAUUCUCAGAGUCUGUCACAGGCUUACUAAACAUGGGUGAGGUUACCAAGGAUAUAGCACUAAGAGCAGAAUCUCUGCUCUCCUGAAAUUUAGACUAGGUGAGGGAGAAAAACAAUAAUAAAUUAAGCAAAAUAUACACAAUGCUUAAUAGCAAAUGCGCCAGGCGGGGAUUGAAGCCAAGAGUCAGGUGGUUGGCACUGGGAGGGCCUGCAAUGUAAUAGUGGUUUCUGGUGAAUUCGGCAUCACACAUAGACACACUGGUCACACUCAGUGACCCAAAGCUGCGUGUCACAAGUAGCUGUAAAUACACAUAGACAGAUGUGCUUGAGUCUGGAGGAACCAUGUCUGGGCUUUCUCUAUCGCUUAAACGUUUCCUAUGGAGACAAACAGCAAAUCAGCCCAGAGAGGACAACACCAAAGGCAAACCAAAGAAAUGAUUUCUCCCGAGGCUGGUGAGUCACAAGAUGCCUGAGAUGGCUUCCAGGGACACAGGCAGGCAGUUUCAGGAGCACGGCCAAGGGUUAACUUACAGGAGUAUGGUGGGUAACUUAUGAUCCGGUCUUUACUUAAUCUGCUUCCCUCAUUUUGGAGUGAAAAUGUUGACAACUCUCGUAGGUUGGAAUUAUGUAGCCUAUGUUUUUAUCUUGCAGGGGCUCCCAGGAUAAAUAUGACCUGUUGUACAGUAUUCGAACAGUUAAGGUUUUGAGUAUUCAAAGGGACGGACUACAGGACCUAAGGGCGGAAUGUAACAGUUUAAAGGGGUGUGUUUGUCUGUCACGUUGACAGAUGGCGGAAUCACAAUGACUAAUCUUCAUUGUCAGCUUGAACUGACAGAAAGCCCUACAGCUGUGGUAGGAAGGGGCUCAUCGUUAAGUACCUAAAGUCUUGCGGAGACACUCCUUGGGCUCUGCUUCCACCAGCCUUCACAGAUGAUGUUCCCAUUCCCUGUCCAGGGUCUUGUGAAUUCUUCUUGCUCUUUUUUUGUUAGCCUAUACCUUAUCUCAAUGUUCCCAGAUUCUAUUUCUUUACUUUGUCUACAUGGACUAUUUAAAAUAUGGUAACAUGUCCCUCUGGUUAUCAAGCCCACAGAAAACAUAACUGGAAAUGUUUUUAGCCUUCCUAUGAUCUUUCACAUAUAUCCAUGAAAUGAUAGCUAUUGAUAUCAGGCUGAUUUCAGCCCAGGGUUGUAGAAACAGCAUUAAGAAAGCCGUAUGGAUUAGCUCUUACCAGUCUGGGCCAUACAGACGAUCCGGAUCUACCCAUUCUGAAUGGAAGCACCAAGGACUAGGGAAGGGAACUUGCAAAAAGUCACACAUUAGUAGCUGGCUUCCUACCCGAUUGUCUCCUGUGUCCGACGAUGCCAUGGAACGUCUGAACAGAUUGUCCUGGGAGAACCUUUUAGGGGAUGAGAGCAUACAAGUUCACAGUGAGGACUGUUCGGAUGUCCUGAUGCUCUUCUGGCACAGUGAUAGGGAUACAGUAAGGGUGGCUCCUGGGAGAAGGGGCGAGCCAUGAUGAGGCAAAGAAGUCUGUCGAUAAACAGCCUUAUGGAAGACACAACCAUGCAGAUCCCAUACCUGGAGCUGAAUCUUAUUUGGAAAGAUGGGAAUUCGAUGCAGGAGAAUAAUAUGAAGAUUAGCCAAGCAGUUGGCAGCUUUCUGCAUCCUGCCCUUACACAGAAACUUGAUUAUAAAUUGCACAGUGAAGGGUCUUAAUCUUCAAUACUCUGAAUUAUAUAGCACACACACACAUACACACACACGUACACACACACAUACAGAUACACACACAUACAGAUACACACAUAUACACACAUACACACAUAUACAGAUACAUACACACACAUACACACACAUACACACACACAUACAGAUACACACACAUACAGAUACACACAUAUACACACAUACACACACACGUACACACACACAUACAGAUACACACACACAUACAGAUACACACACAUACACAGACACACACAGAUACACACACACACACACACACACACACACACAGAUCCGAUUCACUAAAGCACACCUGAGGAUUAAUUUGCUCUCUUGGAGCCCGCUCUACCUUGGCUUCACUUUGGCCUCUGUCCCUCUUUGCCAUUCCAGUAAUAUGAAACUGGCACGUUCCAGAAAGAUCCACUUUUAGUAAUAACUGUGAUCUGAUCUUAUAUUCUUUUUUUUUUCUUUUUCUUUUUUUCUGAGCUGGGGACCGAACCCAGGGCCUUGUGCUUGCUAGACAAGUGCUCUACCACUGAGCUAAAGCCCCAACCCCCUGAUCUUAUAUUCUUAUAGACGCGAAAACAAUUCAAUAGUUGCAUAUGCAUUUAGCUUGUUUGAUCUUUAAAAAGUGAAUAAUAGGGAUUUUCUCUCUUUCUUCCUUUCUUUCUUUCUUUUUGCCCUUGGGAGACCAACUUCCAGGCUGUCCCUCAGGGUAUUAUUACGACCAGGUCACCUCUAAGAUUAUGUCACAUUAUGAGGUGCUUUAUGGGUGGAGAUUCUAUUAUUAUUAUUCUGUUGUUAUUCUCUUGUUUUCUCCCCCUUAACAAUUCUUUUUUCUAGUGAAAAAAAUGCCAGCAAAGCAUUGCUUUAAAUGCACAAAGUAAACAUCGGUGACCAGUUACAUAUUCUGACAGUCAUGUCUGUGAGGGAAGUCAGAGGUCUCCCAAAGCUCUCCUGCUGUGCUUGGAAUUGUCCUCACUUGAAAGCACUGUGUGGCAUCGUGGGCCAUUUCACUUUGGUGAUGAACAAAGCUGAAUUUUCCAGAACUGAAUGCAAAGCAUUCUCGACCAUCGCCUUCCUUAGCAACCAAUCUGCCCGUACUCCCACUCGUUCAUUUGCAGCCUACAGAACGGGAUUUAGAGGAAGGUAGUCUAUGCCUGUGGGACAGAUCUCUCCUGGUAAAUGAUGUUCAAUAAUAGAGAUGGGCUCUUUUUCUGUGAAGCUGCAACUUUCUACUCGCUCUACUGCCGUGAGUCCUCCUCAGCUACCUCACACAUCUGCGUGCAGUGUUGACAGUUAUGGCUGACGUCGAGGGAGAGAACCAGGGUUGGACAAUACGUGUUUACUGAGGUGACUUUUUUGAUGUUUAUGUAGUUUAGAAGCUCUAAUGGUAAACAAUAAAUUACAUCUUGAAGUACUGU